RNAcentral lists this ribosomal RNA (801 nucleotides) under Pseudogymnoascus sp. Its description in RNAcentral is "partial large subunit ribosomal RNA". It matches the Rfam family "Eukaryotic large subunit ribosomal RNA", at positions 90 to 912 of the family's 3401-position model. The record is from RNAcentral. Lineage: Eukaryota; Fungi; Ascomycota; Leotiomycetes; Thelebolales; Thelebolaceae.
CGAGUGAAGCGGUAACAGCUCAAAUUUGAAAUCUGGCCUCACGGUCCGAGUUGUAAUUUGUAGAGGAUGCUUCGAGCAUGGUCUGGCCUAAGUUCCUUGGAACAGGACGUCAUAGAGGGUGAGAAUCCCGUAUGCGGCCAGGUGCCUACGCUCAUGUGAAGCUCCUUCGACGAGUCGAGUUGUUUGGGAAUGCAGCUCAAAAUGGGUGGUAAAUUUCAUCUAAAGCUAAAUAUUGGCCAGAGACCGAUAGCGCACAAGUAGAGUGAUCGAAAGAUGAAAAGCACUUUGGAAAGAGAGUUAAACAGUACGUGAAAUUGUUGAAAGGGAAGCGCUUGCAACCAGACUUGCGCGCGGCCGAUCAUCCGGUGUUCUCACCGGUGCACUCGGCCGUGCUCAGGCCAGCAUCGGUUUUGGCGGCUGGAUAAAGGCCCUAGGAAUGUAGCUCCUCUCGGGGAGUGUUAUAGCCUAGGGUGCAAUGCAGCCUGCUGGGACCGAGGACCGCGCUUCGGCUAGGAUGCUGGCGUAAUGGUUGUAAGCGGCCCGUCUUGAAACACGGACCAAGGAGUCUAACAUCUAUGCGAGUGUUUGGGUGUCAAACCCAUACGCGUAAUGAAAGUGAACGGAGGUGAGAACCCUUAAGGGUGCAUCAUCGACCGGUCCUGAAGUUUACGGAAGGAUCUGAGUAAGAGCAUAGCUGUUGGGACCCGAAAGAUGGUGAACUAUGCCUGAAUAGGGUGAAGCCAGAGGAAACUCUGGUGGAGGCUCGCAGCGGUUCUGACGUGCAAAUCGAUCGUCAAAUUU